RNAcentral lists this ribosomal RNA (569 nucleotides) under Colletotrichum gloeosporioides. RNAcentral describes it as "LSU rRNA". It matches the Rfam family "Eukaryotic large subunit ribosomal RNA", at positions 44 to 637 of the family's 3401-position model. The record is from RNAcentral. Lineage: Eukaryota; Fungi; Ascomycota; Sordariomycetes; Glomerellales; Glomerellaceae.
CAAUAAGCGGAGGAAAAGAAACCAACAGGGAUUGCCUCAGUAACGGCGAGUGAAGCGGCAACAGCUCAAAUUUGAAAUCUGGCCCCAGGCCCGAGUUGUAAUUUGCAGAGGAUGCUUUUGGUGAGGUGCCUUCCAAGUUCCCUAGAACGGGACGCCAGAGAGGGUGAGAGCCCCGUACAGUUGGACACCGAGCCUUUGUAAAGCUCCUUCGACGAGUCGAGUAGUUUGGGAAUGCUGCUCAAAAUGGGAGGUAUAUUUCUUCUAAAGCUAAAUACCGGCCAGAGACCGAUAGCGCACAAGUAGAGUGAUCGAAAGAUGAAAAGCACUUUGAAAAGAGGGUUAAACAGCACGUGAAAUUGUUAAAAGGGAAGCGCUUGUGACCAGACUUGCGUCCGGUGAAUCACCCAGCUCUCGCGGCUGGGGCACUUCGCCGGCUCAGGCCAGCAUCAGCUCGCUGUCGGGGACAAAAGCUUCAGGAACGUAGCUCUCUUCGGGGAGUGUUAUAGCCUGUUGCAUAAUACCCUUCGGCGGGCUGAGGUACGCGCUCCGCAAGGAUGCUGGCAUAAUGG